This 440-nucleotide ribosomal RNA is filed under the name uncultured bacterium. RNAcentral describes it as "partial 16S ribosomal RNA". It matches the Rfam family "Bacterial small subunit ribosomal RNA", at positions 338 to 795 of the family's 1533-position model. The record is from RNAcentral.
CCUACGGGAGGCAGCAGUGGGGAAUAUUGCACAAUGGGGGAAACCCUGAUGCAGCGACGCCGCGUGAGUGAAGAAGUAUUUCGGUAUGUAAAGCUCUAUCAGCAGGGAAGAAAAUGACGGUACCUGACUAAUAAGCCCCGGCUAACUACGUGCCAGCAGCCGCGGUAUUACGUAGGGGGCACGCGCUAGCCGGAUUUACUGGGUGUAAAGGGAGCGUAGGUGGCAGGGCAAGUCAGAUGUGAAAACCUGGGGCUCAACCCCGGGAUGGCAUUUGAAACUGGCCAGCUGGAGUGCAGGAGAGGUAAGCGGAAUUCCUAGUGUAGCGGUGAAAUGCGUAGAUAUUAGGAGGAACACCAGUGGCGAAGGCGGCUUACUGGACUGUAACUGACACUGAGGCUCGAAAGCGUGGGGAGCAAACAGGAUUAGAUACCCCUGUAGUC